Molecule: ribosomal RNA, 497 nt
Filed under: uncultured bacterium
Lineage: Bacteria
Description: partial 16S ribosomal RNA
Rfam family: Bacterial small subunit ribosomal RNA
Source: RNAcentral
GAUGAACGCUGGCGGCGUGCCUAAUACAUGCCAGUCGAGCGAACGGACGAGAAGCUUGCUUUUCUGAUGUUAGCGGCGGACGGGUGAGUAACACGUGGAUAACCUACCUAUAAGACUGGGAUAACUUCGGGAAACCGGAGCUAAUACCGGAUAAUAUUUUGAACCGCAUGGUUCAAAAGUGAAAGACGGUCUUGCUGUCACUUAUAGAUGGAUCCGCGCUGCAUUAGCUAGUUGGUAAGGUAACGGCUUACCAAGGCAACGAUGCAUAGCCGACCUGAGAGGGUGAUCGGCCACACUGGAGCUGAGACACGGUCCAGACUCCUACGGGAGGCAGCAGUAGGGAAUCUUCCGCAAUGGGCGAAAGCCUGACGGAGCAACGCCGCGUGAGUGAUGAAGGUCUUCGGAUCGUAAAACUCUGUUAUUAGGGAAGAACAUAUGUGUAAGUAACUGUGCACAUCUUGACGGUACCUAAUCAGAAAGCCACGGCUAACUACGUG